GACAGCGGGUGCAAACGUUGUUCGGAUUUACUGGGCGUAAAGCGCGUGUAGGCGGCUUUGCAAGUCGGAUGUGAAAGCCCACGGCUCAACCGUGGAAGUGCAUCCGAAACUGCAUGGCUGGAGUCUCGGAGAGGAAGGUGGAAUGCUUGGUGUAGAGGUGAAAUUCGUAGAUAUCAAGCAGAACACCUGCGGCGAAGGCGGCCUUCUGGACGAUGACUGACGCUGAGACGCGAAAGCGUGGGGAGCAAACAGG
RNAcentral lists this ribosomal RNA (253 nucleotides) under uncultured bacterium. RNAcentral describes it as "partial 16S ribosomal RNA". It matches the Rfam family "Bacterial small subunit ribosomal RNA", at positions 524 to 776 of the family's 1533-position model. The record is from RNAcentral.